Molecule: ribosomal RNA, 274 nt
Filed under: uncultured bacterium
Lineage: Bacteria
Description: partial 16S ribosomal RNA
Rfam family: Bacterial small subunit ribosomal RNA
Source: RNAcentral
AUACGGAGGGUGCAAGCGUUACUCGGAGUCACUGGGCGUAAAGCGCGCGCAGGCGGCUAUUUAAGUUGGAUGUGAAAGCCUACGGCUCAACCGUAGAACUGCAUCCAAAACUAUUUAGCUAGAGUGUGGGAGAGGAAGAUGGAAUUAGUUGUGUAGGGGUAAAAUCCGUAGAGAUAACUAGGAAUACCAAAAGCGAAGGCAAUCUUCUGGAACACUACUGACGCUGAGGCGCGAAAGCGUGGGGAGCAAACGGGAUUAGAUACCCCAGUAGUCC